Molecule: ribosomal RNA, 533 nt
Filed under: uncultured bacterium
Lineage: Bacteria
Description: bacterial SSU rRNA
Rfam family: Bacterial small subunit ribosomal RNA
Source: RNAcentral
AAUAGAUACCCCGGUAGUCCACGCCGUAAACGAUAGAUACUAGCUGUUGGAGGUAUCGACCCCUUCAGUAGCGAAGCUAACGCGUUAAGUAUCCCGCCUGUGGAGUACGGUCGCAAGACUAAAACAUAAAGGAAUUGACGGGAGCCCGCACAAGCGGUGGAUUAUGUGGUUUAAUUCGAAGCAACGCGCAGAACCUUACCUAGGUUUGACAUCCUUUGACAACUACAGAGAUGUAGCUUUCGUAGCAAUACGACAAAGAGACAGGUGCUGCAUGGCUGUCGUCAGCUCGUGUGGUGGCAUGUCGGGUUAAGUCCCCCAACGAGCGCAACCCCUGUGUUUAGUUGCCAGCAUUAAGUUGGGCACUCUAGACAGACUGCCGUGGUUAACACGGAGGAAGGCGGGGAUGACGUCAAGUCCUCAUGGCCCUUACACCUAGGGCGACACACGUAAUACAAUGGUUGAUACAGAGGGAUGCGAAACGGCGACGUGGAGCAAAUCCCAAAAAGUCAAUCUCAGUUCGGAUUGGAGUCUGC